RNAcentral lists this transfer RNA (133 nucleotides) under Trueperella abortisuis. Its description in RNAcentral is "tRNA-Arg". RNAcentral also lists the same sequence under 1 other name. The record is from RNAcentral. Lineage: Bacteria; Bacillati; Actinomycetota; Actinomycetes; Actinomycetales; Actinomycetaceae.
GCCAUUCGGUAAACAUCGAGUGGAUAUCUACUAGCAGUAAGAAUAGCAGAAUCAAGCCAUUUUCCGCCCGUUUUCAAGCCGUUUUCUCUGCCUCCGGAGCAGAAGGCCGCAGGUUCGAAUCCUGUUCGGGGCA